RNAcentral lists this unclassified non-coding RNA (346 nucleotides) under soil metagenome. RNAcentral's name for it is "partial contains 5.8S ribosomal RNA, internal transcribed spacer 2, and large subunit ribosomal RNA". The stretch from base 1 to 120 matches the Rfam family "5.8S ribosomal RNA", at positions 35 to 154 of the family's 154-position model. The record is from RNAcentral.
GAUGAAGAACGUAGUAAAAUGCGAUAAGUAAUGUGAAUUGCAGAAUUCAGUGAAUCAUCGAAUCUUUGAACGCACAUUGCGCCCGCUGGUAUUCCGGCGGGCAUGCCUGUUCGAGCGUCAUUUCAACCCUCAAGCCCCCGGGUUUGGUGUUGGGGAUCGGCUCUGCCUUCUGGCGGUGCCACCCCCGAAAUACAUUGGCGGUCUCGCUGCAGCCUCCAUUGCGUAGUAGCUAACACCUCGCAACUGGAACGCGGCGCGGCCAUGCCGUAAAACCCCAACUUCUGAAUGUUGACCUCGGAUCAGGUAGGAAUACCCGCUGAACUUAAGCAUAUCAAUAAGCGGAGGA